CAAACCAACAAUGCCGACACCAUC
RNAcentral lists this non-coding RNA (24 nucleotides) under Arabidopsis thaliana (thale cress). The record is from RNAcentral. Lineage: Eukaryota; Viridiplantae; Streptophyta; Magnoliopsida; Brassicales; Brassicaceae.